CGAGAGUGGACUGCCCACCCGGGCGGUCCCCCCUCCGCCCUGCCUGGCUCGAGGCUCACCCACGAAUGGCCCAACGAGGGCGCUUCCUGCACGAGGGAGCCAUGGUUGGCCGGGGGGCGAGGGUGUUGCUGCUCUGGGGGCUGGGUCAACUAGAGACAUAACCCGGUAGACCCAAGUCAUGGGGGCUCUGCGACAGGACCCCCCGCCAGCCGAGGACCCCAGGCCCAUCCCUGCGGCUCAGGGGAGUGCUCCCUGGCCCCCGCCCCCGUCGUGGUCCGGGGACAGGGGUGGAGGGAAGCCACAGGGAAGGGAAGCUGCGGGAGGAGCGCAAGGAAGGCGGGGCCAGGCGGGGCUGUGGACCGGCCGGCACACGCGGGAUGCCCUGGCCUGGGAUCUUCCAGCCCCCCGGGGAGUUCCAGGAACACCAGGGAACAACUGGACACCCGUCAAAGGGAAAUUAAUCCAAAACGUAAUGGCAUCUGGGUGCAAUGAACCACCCCAAAACCGUCUUACAAAAAUAAAGCAGAAAUACAGGUGGGGUGGGCAGAGACGGUCACAAGAUAGGAUAACGGAAUAAUCACAACGGUCUGAUCAAGGUUGGAAAAUGUGUGUGUUUCUACAGACCUAAAAGGCAGCCGCGGCCAAUGGUUAACUCUGGGCUGUGGGAUUACCAGGGCUCUGCAUUGUUUCCCUGUUGACAACCAAAUGCCCUAAAACCAGAUUCAGAAAAGCCAUUUCCAGUGAAGACAAAAGAGAAGCAGGUAGGGUGGGCCUGGUUCCCACCCUCUGCCCCGGGGCUCCUGGAAGACACUGGUUCUGCUGUCACCCCCCACCCCCCAGCACCAGCACCAGCCUUCUGAGGAGGGGGUGCCUGGGACUGUACGUGUCUACCCUCACACCCCACCUUCCAGAGGGGGACCUGCGGUCCUGUGGAAGGGGCAUGAGCAUCAGAUGGUGGAGGUCAGGGCUGGCAGCUGCCUCUCCUGGUAGACAGCAUGGAAAGUGGGGAAAGGCCACCCCAAAAGGUGAAAGCUCCUCUUUCAAAGUGACAAAUGGCCAAAUCUUGAAAACACUGUCAUCUCCACGACCUUCAAUGCCCCCUGGCUGAAUCUGAAGACGGGAAGAUGAGAUCCCACCAACAGAGCUCCACAGAGACCUGGCUGGGCUUUAUCCUGUAUCUGAGAAAAGUAAAUCACUUUGGGAGGGCACAGAAGCUGGAAGGCAAGGAACUGAGUGUGGCAGGGGGUUAUCGUCCGUCCUUUGUGGAGAGAUUAUCUUAGGUCAAAGCCCUGGGGACACCCGCAGGGGCAGGCCGUGGGGCCUCCAUCCUCCCGCUUCCUGACACCCCAGCCUGGGGACUCACACCACGUGCACCCAGUGUCCCUCCCCGAUGCCGUCCUCACAUGGUGCUGUCGGAGAUCCCGCACCUGCGCUGUGGCCUCCCUGUUAGGAGGCUGGGGAAUUACGGAACAAGCUGAAGGCUUCCCGCCCUUUCAAGUGGAGACGCCCACCCACUAUUGUGUCUCCCGCUCUUGUUCUGGAUCCACAAGUAACUUCUUUUUCAAAUAAAUCUUGGACAAAUGUUUGCUGUCAGCUCAGGGAAAAGGCCAUGCAGACUCCACAUGGGUUCAGAUCCUUCCAAGCUGAGGAUGAACCUAGGACUGACAUAGGGGGCCCUGGAGCUGUGACAUUCCCCUUUGAGGCACAGGCAGCCUCAGGCUGGAGUGGGGGGGUGCAGCCUUGGC
Diceros bicornis minor is the source of this 1745-nucleotide long non-coding RNA. RefSeq lists it as uncharacterized. The record is from RefSeq and is a predicted model, not a curated record. NCBI's taxonomy places the organism in Eukaryota, Metazoa, Chordata, Mammalia, Perissodactyla, Rhinocerotidae. The transcript has 3 exons.